AACGAACGCUGGCGGCAUGCCUAACACAUGCAAGUCGAACGAUUGCGCUCGGUUGGUCGUGGCGCCCGGUGGCGUAACGCGUGGUAAUCUGCCCGAAGGUUCGGAAUAACAGGGGGAAACGCCUGCUAAGACCGGAUGAUAUCGCGAGAUCAAAGAUUUAGCACCUGAGGAUGUGACCGCGUUGGAUUCGGUGGUUGGUGGGGUAACGGCCUACCAAGCCGACGGGGCACAGCUUGUCUGAGAGGAUGAUCAGCCACACCGGGAGUGGGACACGGCGCAGACUCCUACGCGAGGCAGGCGUGCGGAAUAUUGCAAAGCGGCGGGAAGGAUGAUGGAGCUAUGCCGGGUGAGCGAUGAAGGUCGUAGGGUUGUCAUGUUCUCUUAUACGGGAAGAGGAUGACGGUACCGGGAGAAUAAGCACCGGCUAACUACGUG
RNAcentral lists this ribosomal RNA (435 nucleotides) under uncultured bacterium. RNAcentral describes it as "partial 16S ribosomal RNA". It matches the Rfam family "Bacterial small subunit ribosomal RNA", at positions 29 to 507 of the family's 1533-position model. The record is from RNAcentral.